This is a long non-coding RNA of Hemicordylus capensis (graceful crag lizard), 584 nucleotides long. RefSeq lists it as uncharacterized. The transcript is spliced from 3 exons. The record is from RefSeq and is a predicted model, not a curated record. Lineage: Eukaryota; Metazoa; Chordata; Lepidosauria; Squamata; Cordylidae.
UCUCUGCCUUUGCUUUCCUUGCUUGUAUGAAACAGGAUUCUCUUGUGGCUCCUCUUUUCCUGAAACCUAGCAGGUGCUUAGCAGAGUCAGAGCCCUGCAGACAAUGUGAGCAGCAGGGCCUGGGUGAAUUUCCCCAUGUGCUGCGUAGGCAGGUUACAAGCUUCCAUGAGGCAAGGAGACCAUGCUUGAAGUCUUCCGGAAGUCAUAAACGCUGUGCUGUUGGCAUAAGCUGUGGAGUAUGAGUUUCCGCUGCCUCUGUAGCUCUCCAUUCACAGACUUCAUCCGCUCCACUUCCAGAUAGGAGGAGUCAAGCCGCUGGGUCAGGCUUUCCACUUCCACCUCCAAGGCCUCCUUUUCUCUGAGGGGAUGAGAAAACCAAAUUUAAUUCAACGUAUCAAAAGGUAGAAAGUCUUUGAACAGACAAAACAAAAUCUCUUUCAACAACUUGGGAAGAAGGAAUAGAAACAGAAUUGGAAGAAACUAAAAGUCAUCUUCUCAAACUUGCCCAAAGGCAGUGGCAGGACCAUUGUAUACAACCCAGACCCAAGUGUGCUGUAAAGAGAGAGCAGGCACCCCACAGCAAG